AGAUCCAAAUACUUGUUAUCCUAUAAAUAUUGUAAAAAAAAUAAAUACACACUGUUCAUUGAAAAUGAAAUUUUUACUUUUUGUCAUGUGUCACAAUAUCUUCCAAGAAUGGUAAUUCGAUAAAAUGUAUCCAGUUUUUCUUUAGGCCUCCUUUUGAUCAACUUUUUGGUUUUUGCCUUCGCGUACAAAUUUCUAUCUGAUAUCUCCC
Non-coding RNA from Cinara cedri, 208 nucleotides. The record is from the annotation of a GenBank genome assembly. NCBI's taxonomy places the organism in Eukaryota, Metazoa, Arthropoda, Insecta, Hemiptera, Aphididae.